This is a non-coding RNA of Psilocybe cubensis, 82 nucleotides long. NCBI's taxonomy places the organism in Eukaryota, Fungi, Basidiomycota, Agaricomycetes, Agaricales, Agrocybaceae. The record is from the annotation of a RefSeq genome assembly.
GUCUCGAUAGCUAAGUGGUAUAGCAUGCGAUUGCAGCUCAGCUUAUAUCGCAGGGUCCGGUGUUCGAACCACCGUCGGGACU